GCCUGUGGAGUUGACUCGAGUCCCUAGCGAGCCGGCUCGAUUUGCAUCCGAGCCGACUCGAGUUCUACAAGCUAGAAAUAGAAUUUUUAUUCAUCAUGGGGAGUUGGUCGAUCUCUGAUCUGAGCCGACUCACUAUGAUGAGUUGACUCAAACCCAAAGCGAGUCAACUUGAGAGUGAGCAAGAAAUUUUGAAAUUUUGUAUGAGAUGCAAAACUUAAUUAAUUUGGAUUCAAAAAUAUUUUGACAUCUGAAUUAGAUCCAUGAACUUGAUAAGGA
Molecule: long non-coding RNA, 276 nt
Filed under: Elaeis guineensis (African oil palm)
Lineage: Eukaryota; Viridiplantae; Streptophyta; Magnoliopsida; Arecales; Arecaceae
Description: long non-coding RNA (EGUI_LNC051692)
Source: RNAcentral